GACGAACGCUGGCGGCGUGCCUAAUACAUGCAAGUAGAACGCUGAAGAGAGGAGCUUGCUCUUCUUGGAUGAGUUGCGAACGGGUGAGUAACGCGUAGGUAACCUGCCUUGUGGCGGGGGAUAACUAUUGGAAACGAUAGCUAAUACCGCAUAACAAUGGAUGGCACAUGUCAUUUAUUUGAAAGGGGCAAUUGUUCCACUACAAGAUGGACCUGCGUUGUAUUAGCUAGUAGGUGAGGUAAUGGCUCACCUAGGCGACGAUACAUAGCCGACCUGAGGGGGUGAUCGGCCACACUGGGACUGAGACACGGCCCAGACUCCUACGGGAGGCAGCAGUAGGGAAUCUUCGGCAAUGGGGGCAACCCUGACCGAGCAACGCCGCGUGAGUGAAGAAGGUUUUCGGAUCGUAAAGCUCUGUUGUAAGUCAAGAACGGGUGUGAGAGUGGAAAGUUCACACUGUGACGGUAGCUUACCAGAAAGGGACGGCUAACUACGUG
RNAcentral lists this ribosomal RNA (497 nucleotides) under uncultured bacterium. RNAcentral's name for it is "partial 16S ribosomal RNA". It matches the Rfam family "Bacterial small subunit ribosomal RNA", at positions 28 to 507 of the family's 1533-position model. The record is from RNAcentral.